Molecule: ribosomal RNA, 460 nt
Filed under: uncultured bacterium
Lineage: Bacteria
Description: partial 16S ribosomal RNA
Rfam family: Bacterial small subunit ribosomal RNA
Source: RNAcentral
CCUACGGGAGACAGCAGUGAGGAAUAUUGGUCAAUGGACGCAAGCCUGAACCAGCCAUGCCGCGUGAAGGAUGACGGCCCUAUGAGUUGUAAACUGCUUUUGUAAGAGGGUAAAAUCAGGUACGUGUGCCGGGUUGAAAGUACCGUAUGAAUAAGGAUCGGCUAACUCCGUGCCAGCAGCCGCGGUAAUACGGAGGAUCCGAGCGUUAUCCGGAUUUAUUGGGGUUAAAGGGUGCGUAGGCGGUUUGUUAAGUCAGAGGUGAAAUGUCGGGGCUCAACCGCGAAACUGCAUCUAAUACUGGAUGUCUAGAGUAUAGUUGAGGUAGGCGGAAUGUGUGGUGUAGCGGUGAAAUGCUUAGAGAUCAUGCAGAACACCGAUUGCGAAGGCAGCUUACUAAACUAUCACUGACGUUGAGGCACGAAAGUGUGGGUAGCAAACAGGAUUAGAUACCCCGGUAGUC